Molecule: unclassified non-coding RNA, 342 nt
Filed under: soil metagenome
Description: partial contains 5.8S ribosomal RNA, internal transcribed spacer 2, and large subunit ribosomal RNA
Rfam family: 5.8S ribosomal RNA (bases 1-120)
Source: RNAcentral
GAUGAAGAACGUAGCGAAAUGCGAUAAGUAGUGUGAAUUGCAGAAUUCAGUGAAUCAUCGAAUCUUUGAACGCACAUUGCGGCCAUAGGUAUUCCUUUGGCCAUGCCUGUUCGAGCGUCAUUUACACCCUCAAGCCUAGCUUGGUGUUGGGCGUCUGUCCCGCCGUUCUCGCGCGCGGACUCGCCUCAAAGUCAUUGGCGGCGGUCGUGCCGGCCCCCUCGCGCAGCACAUUUGCGCUUCUCGGUGGCCCGGCGGAUCCGCGCUCCAGCAAGACCUUUCACGACUUGACCUCGGAUCAGGUAGGGAUACCCGCUGAACUUAAGCAUAUCAAUAAGCGGAGGA